UACGUAGGGUGCGAGCGUUGUCCGGAAUUAUUGGGCGUAAAGAGCUCGUAGGCGGCUUGUUACGUCGUUCGUGAAAACUUGGGGCUCAACCCCAAGCUUGCGGUCGAUACGGGCAGGCUAGAGUUCGGUAGGGGAGACUGGAAUUCCUGGUGUAGCGGUGAAAUGCGCAGAUAUCAGGAGGAACACCGGUGGCGAAGGCGGGUCUCUGGGCCGAUACUGACGCUGAGGAGCGAAAGCGUGGGGAGCGAACAGG
RNAcentral lists this ribosomal RNA (253 nucleotides) under uncultured bacterium. RNAcentral describes it as "partial 16S ribosomal RNA". It matches the Rfam family "Bacterial small subunit ribosomal RNA", at positions 524 to 776 of the family's 1533-position model. The record is from RNAcentral.